GUGGUAAUGCCGGAUGUUCCACAUGAUCGCAUGUGAUUGUGGGAAAGAUUCUAUCGGCGUGGGAUGGGGUCGCGUCCUAUCAGCUUGUUGGUGAGGUAACGGCUCACCAAGGCUUCGACGGGUAGCCGGCCUGAGAGGGCGACCGGCCACAUUGGGACUGAGAUACGGCCCAGACUCCUACGGGAGGCAGCAGUGGGGAAUAUUGCACAAUGGGCGCAAGCCUGAUGCAGCGACGCCGCGUGAGGGAUGGAGGCCUUCGGGUUGUAAACCUCUUUUGUUUGGGAGCAAGCCUUCGGGUGAGUGUACCUUUCGAAUAAGCGCCGGCUAACUACGUGCCAGCAGCCGCGGUAAUACGUAGGGCGCAAGCGUUAUCCGGAUUUAUUGGGCGUAAAGGGCUCGUAGGCGGCUCGUCGCGUCCGGUGUGAAAGUCCAUCGCUUAACGGUGGAUCUGCGCCGGGUACGGGCGGGCUGGAGUGCGGUAGGGGAGACUGGAAUUCCCGGUGUAACGGUGGAAUGUGUAGAUAU
RNAcentral lists this ribosomal RNA (525 nucleotides) under Bifidobacterium bifidum. Its description in RNAcentral is "bacterial SSU rRNA". It matches the Rfam family "Bacterial small subunit ribosomal RNA", at positions 160 to 697 of the family's 1533-position model. The record is from RNAcentral. Lineage: Bacteria; Bacillati; Actinomycetota; Actinomycetes; Bifidobacteriales; Bifidobacteriaceae.